CCUUUUUUGACUUGAUACGCUAGUACAGUGCCGAAAGCCUAAACAAGAAGAAGAAAAGUAAAGUUUUGACAAGCUGCAAUGUCGAAACAGACGAAGAUUCAGGCACGAAAGGGGGCUAAUGCUUCAGCCGCUAGCGGUAGCCAAGCAGAGUACUCGCCGCCACAAGCUAGCGGAACCUCACCGGACAUGGACAUGACUGCUCUCAUCCACAAGAUAACGCAAAACUUCAGCGAAGUGAUGGAGGAGAAACUCGAUAAGUUUUCCAACAUGCUAGAAAAGAUUUCCUCGACCUUAGAGAGCCAGUCGAAGCGUAUUACUGCCGCGGAGCAACGUGUCUCAGAUGUGGAGGACGUAGUGACAGACCCAGAGACCAGACUCGCCUCCGCGGAAAUGAAAAUAAAGCAAAUGGCUGAUGGCAUAGAUGAUCUGGAGAACCGAAGUAGGCGAGACAAUAUUCGUAUCCUCAACUUGGAAGAAGGCACAGAGGGAAAGGAGCCUAUACAGUUUUUUGAAACCUGGCUGCCUACCGUGCUUGGACUGUCUACAAGCGCCGAGAAGAGCCGUAUUAAGAUCGACCGGGUGCACCGCAGCCUGGGGCCGAGGGGAGCGCGCCCUCGGCCGGUGAUAAUAUAACUUCAUAACCCCAGGGACAAGCUGAGGAUGAUGGCAGCGGCGAGGAAGAAGCCUGACCUGGAGCACGACGGGAGGCGGAUCCUCAUUCAUCAGGAUUUGUCUCCCGUGAUCAGAGGGAAACGCCGCGCCUUCAACGACGUGUGUCGGGCCCUGAUAAGCAAAGGAAUCCGGUUUGGGAUGCGCUUCCCCGCCACGCUUACCGUGAACCACAAUGGCAAGGAACACAGGUUCGAGGCAAGGGGAGAUGCUGAGGACUUUCUGAAGACGUUGGGCUAGAGGUUGACUCGGGGCUGCACAUCAUCUUAUGAGUUUACAUGUCUGCACAAUGAGGUUCUGAGUAAGUUAUUAUACUGAUACGGAGGCUAUACAUCUCUGACAGAGUAUCAGUGUGAUUGGACAGUAAGAGGGGGUAAAAGGAAAAACAAGGCCUGUUUUAAUCUAUACGCUAAGCUAUGUUAAUGUUAGGCUAAGCCAGUCCUUCUCAAAUAGGGGGGGCGCGAGUGCUUGCUCUUGUUGUAUUCGAUGAAAGUGUAAUUGCACAUCCAGAACGUAGGUGGCAGUGUUGCUCUCAUUGUGCGCACUAUUAUCUCGGUGGUGUUUUUUAACAGAGCCGGCGGUAAGAGAUGUAAACAAACUGAGGGAACAUGGAAAAAUAUUUGACAGGGAUGAAAAGAAAGGCCGUUAGAGAGGAAGAUAAUGAGACAAAGGAAAGUCACUCAAAACCCAAGACAAGGAAAUAUGACAACACGUAUGUAGCGCUGGGCUUCACUGUAACUACGGUCGGGGACGAGGAAAGACCGGUGUGUUUAUUGUGUCUAAAAUGUUGGCAGCGGACAGCAUGAAGCCGAAUAAAUUAAGGCGUCACUUAAACACAGUACAUCCCAAUCAUGCCGACAAACCGCUUGAGUUUUUUCAGAGAAAACACGCCGAAUAUUGCCAGCAAUCAUCCCGUUUUUUGACUGCUACGUCAGUUAACCAACGAGCACUGUUAGCAUCAUAUAAGGUAGCGCACCAAACUGCUCAGUGCAAGAAACCCCACACCAUCGCAGAGGAGCUGAUACUGUCUGCAGCAGUAGACAUGGUCUCUGUCAUGCUGGAUGAUGCAAGUGCUGCAAAACUAAAAACUAUCUUGUAAGAGACUAAGAAACAAUGUUAAUAAAGUUAUUCCUUGUUGCAAGUUGAUCUAUAUGUCUUUUUUUCCUUUUCUCUGUACAUAUAAGAAGUUUUGGACAAAUGAUACUAAUUGUAAUCGUGUCGGGGGGGCCUGCAACAUUUUCUUCUUCCUAAGGGGGGCCUAACAGAAAACAAUUGAGAACCACUGGGCUAAGCUAAGUUUUUUUUCUACGGUUAUUCCUAAUAUUUUGAGUUAACAUUUCGUGUCGCAGUCACAGGCACUAGAUUGUUGGUUGAGAGAGGAUGACGCUACAUUCAUUUAAAUUACCAGAAUAUAGACAUGUAUAUCAAUAUUUGUAUCUUGUGGGAGUGGGAAGUGUUAAAAUAAUUCUGCGAUAAUUUAGAACUGGAGGAAGGAGAUCGGAAUCAGCUCAAGGUUCAAACAAGGUUUUAAUCUUGUACAAGAGGAGCAUUCACAGAGCAACACGCAGGUCUGUUACAAAGUGAAGACUCAACAUGUGAAGAGAAAAGCAUGGUAUUUAUCCCUCUCUGUGGGUGUGUUUUUCCACUCCGAUAGUUCCUAAUUUAUGACCUGCACUUAAAGAAAUACUUCACAGAGAAGGAAGUGAUAAGCUCCAGUGGUCACUCAACACCAGACAUAGGUAAUAAAACGACAUAAAACAAGGUCACAAGUUGCAGGUCAUGUUAAACAACUCCAUUGAACAUUCCUGUGUCAGACUUCAGUUCACAUCUCUGUUUUAAGUACAAAAUUUCCAUCACAGGAAGGAAGUGUGGAGAUUGUUUGGGUAGCUUUUUUUCUUUCUAUUUUCUUUGGGUUCGCCUAUGAGUGGAAUACACUCGUUUAGACCUUUUUUACAUGUUGUAACUUUGGUCUCAUUUGCACUAUGUGUGCUUUUUCCCACAGAGAGGACAGGUUUCACCUCUCUGCCCCAAUACCAUCGGGGAUCUGGUGCAGUUGUAGUUCAGUUCCUGCAUCAGAUUGAUGAAGUGGAAGGUCACUUUUGUGUUCUCUAUGUUGCUCUUUGUUCUUUGUUUUUCCUGACACGCGUUACAGACAAUGCCUUAAUAGUGAAAAGACUAGCUGUCACAUUUAAGUUAAAACAGGUAGGGAGUUAUAUUAUAAAACCCCACAGAGAUUAUGGCUGAAUUGAACUUCGUAAGUUAUAAUAUAAGAGGAGUUAAUAGCCCAAUCAAAAGAAAGAAAAUCCUGGGUCAAUUAAAGAGGUUACGGUGUUCUGUUGCUCUGAUUCAAGAGACGCACUUGUCUCAAACCGAACACUUAAAACUGAAGAGAGAAUGGGUGGAUCAGGUGUACAGUGCUUCAUGUGGGAGAAGGAAGAAGAGAGGAGUUGCUAUACUAUUUCAUAAAUCGGUGUACUACAGUACUGAAAAAAUUGUUCAGGAUGAUGAAGGCCGAUAUGUCAUGGUAAUAGGCACAAUUGGAGGGAAAAAAAUAACUAUACUGAAUAUAUACGCCCCAAACGAAGACUGCCCUUUCUUUUUUAAAAAAAUAGCAACUUUGUUAGCUGACAAAAGUGAGGGGAUCAUCAUAAUAGGAGGUGACUUCAACUGCACCCUGAAUUCAAAAUUGGAUAGACUACCUGCAACCAGGAAGCCUCCAUCCAAAAUGUCUAAGGGCUUAUCAUAUAUGAUGAAAGAACUGGGUCUAGUGGACAUUUGGCGGCAGCUCCAUCCUAAUGAGAGAGAUUUCACUUAUAUGUCUCAAGUGCAUGGGAGCUACUCAAGAAUAGAUCUUUUUUGUGUAUCAAAGACAGAAAUGUAUAGAAUAAAAGACAGUACAGUCGAACCAAUUACUAUUUCAGAUCUUGGCCCUGUGACUAUGAAAAUCAACCUAGGUGCGGACAAUCACUUCAGACACUGGAGGCUUAAUGUAUCCCUGUUAACGGAUAUGAAUAUUAGGCAAGAAUUGAGGGAGGCUCUGACUGAAUACUUUAUUAUAAAUGAUGAUGGUAAUGUCUCCCCCUCAAUUGUAUGGGAGGCUAGUAAAGCCACUAUAAGAGGCAAAAUUAUUUCUAUAGUGUCCAGAAUAAAAAAAACAAAGACUCGCUAAACAACAGAGUUUGGAAGAUGAAAUAAAAAAAUUAACAAGAGAACACAAACAAUUUGGAAAGAAAGACACUUUGAAAAUACUAAAGGAAAUGAGACAACAACUGGAUAAGGUUCUGACGUAUAAAGCAGAGGGUGCCCUGAGAUUUACUAAUAGAAAAUAUUAUGAAAUGGGAAACAAGGCUAGCAGGCUUUUGGCUUUUCAACUCAGAAAAGCUCAAUCUAGCCGUGCAGUUCCAAAAAUUAGGAAUCCUGAAACCAAUCUUAUUGAGACAGAUCGCAGUAGAAUAGCAAACUCAUUUUCCACGUACUACAAACAACUAUAUAAAGCUGAAGACCUUGAAUUUAAGGAAAAAAGAAUCUUAGAGUUUUUAAAACCACUUAAAAUGAAUAAACUAUCAAAUGAGGAGAUGGAACUUUUAAUACAGCCUAUCACAGAGAGUGAAAUUAGGGAAACCAUUCUUAAAAUCAAAAACAAUAAAUCACCAGGAAUAGAUGGUUUCUCUGGAGAAUACUAUAAGAUAUUUAUGAACGAACUCACGCCUAUACUGUGCAAAUUAUAUAACUAUGUUCUAAAAUCAGGAGACCUCCCAAAUUCAUGGUCAGAAGCCAUACUAUCAGUAAUACAUAAGGAGGGAAAAGAUCCCCUCCAAUGUAAUAGCUAUCGCCCAAUAAGUUUACUCUGUGUAGAUUAUAAAAUCCUAAGCUCUAUAUUAGCAGUCAGAAUUCAAAGAAAUAUAAAAAAAUUAAUACAACCAGAUCAAACAGGGUUUAUAUUAGGACGUCAAGGAUCAAAUAAUAUAAGAAGAGCUUUAAAUCUGCAAGCAAUAGCAGCAGGAGACAGUCAACCGUCAAUGCUUCUCGGCUUAGAUGCCGAGAAGGCAUUUGAUAGGGUGGACUGGCAGUUUCUGAAACAGACACUAAUAGAAAUGGGCUUUGGGAAUAGUCACUGUUCUAGCUUUUUUAGGAUUGAACGAGGGGUGAGACAAGGAGACUCACUGUCACCCAUCUUAUUUGCUAUCAGUAUCGAGCCUCUGGCAGAGACAAUACGCCAAAAUGCUCAAAUUCAAGGGAUAACAGAUGAAGGAGGCUCAAUUCAUAAACUAGCUCUGUUCGCGGAUGACAUUUUACUUUUUGUAAAAAAUCCAUUCUCUUCCAUUCCACUUAUGAAAACCUUGCACGAAUACGGAUCAGUGUCCGGAUAUAAAAUUAAUGAAAAUAAAUCAGAAGCCAUGAUGAUUUCAGGCAUCUGGCCUACGCAACUGAAUAAUAGUGUCUCCUUUCGCUGGUCUAAACAAGGAUUUAGGUAUUUGGGAAUAAUUAUUACCCCUAAUCCCACCCAACUAUUUGAGGCAAAUUACAACAAAUUAAUUAAACAAAUUAAAAAUGAUGUGGCACGGUGGGAAAUUAUGCCACUGUCCCUCAUAGGAAGAAUAGAGACGGUAAAAAUGAAUCUACUACCGAGACUUCUCUUCUUGUUUCAAUCCCUCCCUAUUAGAGUGCCAGUUACCACAUUAAAAAUGUUAGAUAGAUUAGUUUCAACAUUUAUAUGGCAAAAGAAGAGACCAAGGAUAAGAUUGAAAUCCCUUCACCUACCUAAAGACAAGGGAGGUUUAGGUUUACCAAAUCUCAAAAGAUAUUACUGGGCUGCACAGAUAAGUGCUAUAGUGGCACGGAUCAGAAAGGACCAAGAGACAAUAUGGACUAAGAUGGAGCAAGAUUCUGUAAAGGAGGUCUCCUUAGCAGUACUCCCUUUCAUAGAUGUAAAGUCAGUUAAUAAAAUCAAAAUAAAGAACGAAUGGAUAAAACAUACCUUAAAAGUCUUGACACCUGUGAAGAAAAUGCUUAAGGGACCAAAGUCGAUCUCAGGGGCCCUAUUGAUUGUAGGAAAUAUAGAUUUCCCGCCCUCCCUAUGGGACAGUGGGUUCAGAAGGUGGGCAGACAAAGGUCUCCGUACAAUUAAUCAACUUUUUAUAGGAACGGAAUUUAAAUCAUUCUCUCAACUUCAGGAGCAAUUUGGCCUCUCAUCAAAAGAUUUUCACAGAUAUCUUCAGAUCAGGCAUUAUGUCACAAGUCACAAGGAAAAGGACAUGGUCAGAGAUAACCCCAAUGAAAUAGAAGAGUACUUAAUCAACAUUUUGGAGAAACAACACCCAACAAAAAAACAUCUAUCUAACAUAUACAAAAGACUAGUAAUGGAUGCUUAUCAAAACACGGAAUAUAUUAAAGAAAAAUGGGAACUAGAAAUGAAUGUUAUAAUUGAAGACUCUGAAUGGAAUGACGUGUGGGCAGGAUGCCAUAAGGGUAUUAAUAGUCAAUUAUGGAAAGAAUUUGAUUGGAAGGUAAAGAUUAGAUUUUUUAACACUCCCCUUAUUAUUUCUACGUACGUGAAGAAUUCCAGUGCAGCAUUAUGCUGGCGAAAUUGUGGUAAUACUGGAGACACCACACACAUUUUCUGGGAUUGCUCAGUUCUGAGUGGGUUCUGGGAUGACAUCAAAAGGGGGAUUGAUACUAUGUUGGGGAUAGAUGUUGCUCUGGAUCCAAAACUGUUUUUAUUAGGAAUUAUUCCGAAAGAUGUGUACAAUGCUGAGCAACGAUAUGUACUGCGGAUUCUUCUGCUUGUUGCGAAGAAAAUGAUAACAGUAAACUGGAGAGACGUGAAACCUCCAACCAUGGAUCAAUGGUCCCAGAGACUGAAAGAUGUCUACACAAUGGAAAAAAUGACAGCCAGUUUGCAGCUGAAAACAGACAUCUUUGAUCAGAGAUGGUCCUGCAUUGCCAGAUAUCUGGGGUUGGAAUUUUGACUACCUGUUUGUCCAUUCAUGUGUUUUUGCUUUCUUUAUGGCAGCCGGUCUCGAUACGUAUGCUUAGUGAUAUGUUGGAUGAUGUGUCAGGAAUUGUCUUGUUUUGUUAAGUGAAAAAGUUUAAAUAAAAAGUUAAAAAAAAAACAAAAAACAAACACAUUUACAUUUGUGGUUUAAACAUGACAAAAUGUAGAAAGUGGGGUGAAUACUUUUGCAAGGCACUGUAUGUACAGCCAGAGAAACUGUUCACCUUUUAAAGCUCUUUCAGCCCUCUUACUUUUCAGCUUUUCAGCCUUGUCAGCCUUUUAAAAUAGUCAUCUCUCUGCCUUUUCAGCUUCUUCUAACCCUUCAUACAGCUUUACGUUCAGCUGGAGAAACUGUUAACCUAUCAUUAGGGCCGCUACUCACGCAGAGGGGCAGAGUGUCACUCUGCCUGCUUCUUCAUGGGACCUCGCGUCAAUUAGCCACCUGGCUCCUCUGUCCACUGGUGGCUCUGGCCUGGGUGCUGCGGUUGGUGCUCUCCCUCUAUUAAAUCGAUGCUUCCUGCUUCUUCGCCCGCUCAAUGCGUCCUGUCUCUCCUCCUGCUUUCUCUUGCCACUCUUGCAAGUCUUGCCAAUCUUGCUCUCUCAGGUGUGGUGAUUGUGCCGAGGGGUGUCACAACCAGGAUAAGGUUUUUUCCAAAAAAAUCGCACAACACACUCCCAGUGUACAAUACAUGCAAUAAAAACACAAAGAUAAAAUUACACACUAAAGUCAGAAAUGUUACAAGUUAAAAACAACGGGAGCUUAAAAUGCACACAAUAAAAUUACCAUACCCAUGUGACAUGUAGAUUGCAGGGAGUUCUUCUAACUUCAGAAUACAUUGUUUAAUACCUGCAGGAGCAGCCCACCAAAUUAGAGUGGAAAAACUUCCUCAAGAGAUUGUUGGACUGCUUGCAGCUUUAAUUAUAUUUAUACUUCUUCUCUAUAUUUACACUGAAUCUUUAUAUGUAUUCUCAUAUUUAUAUUUAUAUUGCAUCUUCAUAUUUAUACUGCAUAUUUAGCUAACGCUGUCACAGUAACAGACUCCAUGUUUCCUGUCUGAUCAGAGGUCUGUUGUGACAUCACCAUGGUAACUAAUGCUGCACAUCUGACCAGGUCUGGAAGACAAGUGGUUCAGACUCUCAGCUGAUGUUAAAUACGUAAAACUGCUUCACUAAACAUUUAGCUCCUCCUCCUGAUGACAACAAUAAUCUAGCUCCGCCCUCACCUCCAACAUGGCUGACAGGAAGCUCUCAGGUGUCUCAGGUGUAACAGGUGUGUCAGGUGUAGCUCCUCCUCUGUCCUCACCUCCACAGCAGAAUGGGAGGAUCAGGGGGACGACGCCCAAGUACUCGCCACCCCACCACAACGGUAGUCUAGAGGCCGGUCUGGGAACCAGUCUCAGUGACACCAGUGCUGCUGUCUCCACCUCCCCCCUCAGGACCCUAAGGACCCUCGGGGGUUUGAUGAGUCCUGCACCAGGUCAUGGUCCUGAAGGCAACUCCGGCAGGCCCAGAGGUCAAAGUCUGGGUUCAGCUCUGAGCUCCAGAACCAGAACCAGAACCAGAACUUCACGGAGCAACCAGCGCAGCAGCCAGCAGGAGGAGCCAGAAGCCUUGUUGGACCUGAUCCUGGAUUGUCAGAGUCAGAGACUGGAGGACCAGAGAGCCAGCCUCAGCCUGCUGCCUGACCAAGGACCAGCUGCUCUGUGUGGGGCCUGCAGUCCAGACCAGGCCGGCCUGCCUGGUCAGGACUUCUACUACAUGCUGAUCCAGUACCAGUCAGACCGGAUGGACGAUCAGAGGUGUUCUCUUCCUGACAUUGAUGAUGUCGUUCAGGAGGACUUCUUCUCAUUGGUCCAGAGAGUUCAGUCGAGAAGGAUCGAUGAGCAGCGAGCUUCACUUCAAACACACACCGCCGACUCCACCCACCACCAUCAUCAUAACCAUCAUCGUCAUCAUCAGUGAUGAAGACCAGAGUCUUUCAAUGUUUUCAGUACUGUGCUGUUGUCAGCCUGUUGCUGUGGAAACGUGACCGAAGCUGAUGAUGUCACCUGCAAGUCUGACCUGGGACCAGUCAGAGGCUCACUGUGGAGUCUGUAAACAUUCAUGUUAAUGAAGAAGACUUAAGCUCAUCUUCAUCACGCCUGUUGGUUUUUAUUUGAUCCCACAGACUGAAUCAGAAAAGAUCAAUCACUUAAAUAUUAACAGUAGCCGUUAAUAGUCGUUAACAUUAGCAAUAUUUUGACAUCUGUGAAUUCUUCUUUUCUCUGUCUGGAAACAUUUUACUGAAGUGAAACAUCUCUGGUGUUCAGCUGCUCACCACCAGGUGACCUCCACCAGGUGACCUCCACCAGGUGAUUUCCUUCAGGUGACCUCCACCAGGUGACCUCCAUCAGGUGACCUCCACCAGGUGAUUUCCUUCAGGUGACCUCCACCAGGUGACCUCCAUCAAGUGACCUCCACCAGAAUGAGAUGUCUGAGUUUGAUUCAUCUGAAAGAUUAGAACAUGAAUACAAUCCUGCAGCAGAUCUGAAGAGUUCUGCUCAGGAACUCUGAAUAUAAAUGGAAUAAGGCGUUCAUUUAGGAUCUGGAUCUGGUUCUGGUUCUGUUUUCUUGUUUUCUUCAGUUCAUUUAACAAACUGACAUUUAAAACCCAGCACAUUUAAAGAUAUGUUGUUGUCUCAGCAAUGAAGAACUUCUGAAAUGUUCUGAUUGUGAUACAAAGUGAGAACCAACUUCCUCUAGUUUGUUCCAGGUUUGUGUUCUGUGUAGAACCAGGUCUCAGGUGGUUUCUGUAGUUUAAAGGUUUUGUGAAGGUGGAACAAUAAGCCAUGACCACACGUUCCAACAAUGUCAGUGAUGAUGAGGUAACCCCUCUUGGUCCUGGACCACAUGUUGAGAAACUCACCAGAAGAGGAUCCAAAAGGAACCAGAACUGAUCCAGGUCCAGAACUGAGCCAGGUCCAGUCUGAUUCAGGUCGAGAACUGAACCUGGUCCAGAGUUGAUACAGGUCCAGUCUGAUGCAGGUCCACGUCUGUGGUCUGUCUUGUUGUGUAAAUGAAUCUCAGCAGUAAAAUCAGAUUUUAACAACCUCA
Acanthopagrus latus (yellowfin seabream) is the source of this 9757-nucleotide RNA transcript. It is a transcript of the gene named G protein signaling modulator 1a, with no coding region annotated. The record is from RefSeq and is a predicted model, not a curated record. The transcript is spliced from 4 exons. NCBI's taxonomy places the organism in Eukaryota, Metazoa, Chordata, Actinopteri, Spariformes, Sparidae.